This 438-nucleotide ribosomal RNA is filed under the name uncultured bacterium. RNAcentral's name for it is "bacterial SSU rRNA". It matches the Rfam family "Bacterial small subunit ribosomal RNA", at positions 954 to 1392 of the family's 1533-position model. The record is from RNAcentral.
GCAAAACGCGAAGAACCUUACCUACUCUUGACAUCCAGAGAACUUAGCAGAGAUGCUUUGGUGCCUUCGGGAACUCUGAGACAGGUGCUGCAUGGCUGUCGUCAGCUCGUGUUGUGAAAUGUUGGGUUAAGUCCCGCAACGAGCGCAACCCUUAUCCUUUGUUGCCAGCGGUUCGGCCGGGAACUCAAAGGAGACUGCCAGUGAUAAACUGGAGGAAGGUGGGGAUGACGUCAAGUCAUCAUGGCCCUUACGAGUAGGGCUACACACGUGCUACAAUGGCGUAUACAAAGAGAAGCGACCUCGCGAGAGCAAGCGGACCUCAUAAAGUACGUCGUAGUCCGGAUUGGAGUCUGCAACUCGACUCCAUGAAGUCGGAAUCGCUAGUAAUCGUAGAUCAGAAUGCUACGGUGAAUACGUUCCCGGGUCUUGUACACACCG